Molecule: ribozyme, 95 nt
Filed under: Hepatitis delta virus
Lineage: Ribozyviria; Kolmioviridae
Description: Hepatitis delta virus ribozyme
Rfam family: Hepatitis delta virus ribozyme
About the family: The ribozyme acts to process the RNA transcripts to unit lengths in a self cleavage reaction. The ribozyme is found to be active in vivo in the absence of any protein factors and is the fastest known naturally occurring self-cleaving RNA.
Source: Rfam by way of RNAcentral
UCGGGUCGGCAUGGCAUCUCCACCUCCUCGCGGUCCGACCUGGGCAUCCGUAGGAGGACRRACGUCCUACCUCGGAUGGCUAAGGGAGAGCCAGU